RNAcentral lists this ribosomal RNA (207 nucleotides) under uncultured bacterium. RNAcentral describes it as "partial 16S ribosomal RNA". It matches the Rfam family "Bacterial small subunit ribosomal RNA", at positions 568 to 774 of the family's 1533-position model. The record is from RNAcentral.
AGCGCAGACGGUUAUUUAAGUCUGAAGUGAAAGCCCUCGGCUCAACCGAGGAAUUGCUUUGGAAACUGGAUAACUUGAGUGCAGUAGAGGAGAGUGGAACUCCAUGUGUAGCGGUGGAAUGCGUAGAUAUAUGGAAGAACACCAGUGGCGAAGGCGGCUGUCUGGUCUGUAACUGACGCUGAGGCUCGAAAGCAUGGGUAGCAAACA